UACGUAGGGGGCUAGCGUUGUCCGGAAUCAUUGGGCGUAAAGCGCGCGUAGGCGGCCCGGUAAGUCCGCUCUGAAAGUCCAGGGCUCAACCCUGGAAAGCGGGUGGAUACUGCCGGGCUAGAAUCCGGAAGAGGCGAGUGGAAUUCCUGGUGUAGCGGUGGAAUGCGUAGAUAUCUCUAAGAACACCAGUUGCGAAGGCGGCUGGCUGGGUCCACAUUGACGCUGAGGCUCGAAAGCGUGGGGAGCAAACAGG
Molecule: ribosomal RNA, 253 nt
Filed under: uncultured bacterium
Lineage: Bacteria
Description: partial 16S ribosomal RNA
Rfam family: Bacterial small subunit ribosomal RNA
Source: RNAcentral